UGCCUUAAAGUGUUGCCUGUUCAUUGCUGGUCAGAUGAAUGUGGUGUCAACUAGGGCAUACAUUAAUACAUAAUAUGGCUGCUGGAAGGUGUUUACUCUGUUCCUUCCUGAAGUUCCAUGUUAUGGACAUUU
This is a small nucleolar RNA of Triplophysa rosa, 132 nucleotides long. RefSeq annotates it as small nucleolar RNA SNORA13. Lineage: Eukaryota; Metazoa; Chordata; Actinopteri; Cypriniformes; Nemacheilidae. The record is from RefSeq and is a predicted model, not a curated record. The transcript has a single exon.